AAUAAAGUGCCUGAUUAAAGGAUUAUUCUGAUAGGAUAAAUUACGUAAAUAAAAUUACCUUUAUUA
RNAcentral lists this transfer RNA (66 nucleotides) under Cifuna locuples. Its description in RNAcentral is "tRNA-Ile". The record is from RNAcentral. Lineage: Eukaryota; Metazoa; Arthropoda; Insecta; Lepidoptera; Erebidae.